CGCCUCAAAUGCCACCUCCCCCGGUGUCUCCACCUCCACCAUUGCCUCAUCAUCAUCAUAUAUCCCCACCACCGCCUCAUAAGAAGAAUUCCCACCAUACCAAUCAGCCUAUAAAGAGUGAUAGGUCUCGAAAUGGUGGAGGUCACAAGAGAAAAAAUCGUGAUUUGGGAAAGAAAGUUGGGUUAUGGUUUAUUGGUGUAGCAGCUGGAUUGCAAGUUUGUGUGCUCGGGUUCUUGGUACACCAGAGAUGGCAAUUUUUCGGAGAGCAAGACUUCUUAUAGUGUGUCUGGAUUUGGUGUAGCCUAUAGCGUUUGGCGGUUUCCAAUUUGUAUAUGGAUAAGGAUGAUUUAUGACUGCUGGUGUCUACAUUUUGAUGCUGCUAAUUGAAAUUGGUAAACCUCGAUGAACAUUCUUUUAUAACGUGUUAGUCAAUUCAUUUAACUCAUUAGUUUUUCCGAUGUCUCGUUUACUUAUAGUCAUUUAUAAAGACAUGUCAUAUCUACACCUUCUGUAGUGUGUUGGUGUUGAACCUGAUAGCUAAAUUCUAUGUAAUUAUUAAUUAAGAUAGAACUCUUGGAAUUUUUUGUUGUUUCUCCAAAACCGAAGCUUUAGUCCUCCGCAUGGGAGUUACGUACCAGGUAAUCUUUGAUGGAUGAGUAUUGUAGUUUUGUGGGCAAUAAAACAUUUUUCAACAUGACUCCAAGGGCCAAGCAUUAGACUCAUGCAUCUCUAUGACCUCUUUGCAUUUAGAGAGAAUUUUAUGAACCUAGUUGCUUAAGAUCAAAUGCUCAUAUACAAGCACGAAACAAUUGGCUCUAGCUUGAAUCGGUUCAAAUUGCUAUUAGCUUCUGUUAAUAGAAGAGCAAAUAUGUCUCUUUAUGAGACCAUAUUGUGGUUGUAUUCAAUUGUAUGGUUUAUUGACUAGUAAAUUCUAAAUAAAAUUCUGGUUUCUGAACAACACCUAAGAAUUGAGAUAAUUAUGCAAUAAUAAGAUUAAUUAGUACUAUGUAGUAUAUCAAAUCAAGUAAAAUCCCUUAUUUGAAGAAAAGCUUGGGUGAAUUUUAAAGUAACUGAUAAGUCUGGUAUAAUAAGUUUAUGUGUAUGUUGACCUGAGAAAGGUAUACCCUUUUUUUUAAGGAAUAACAACAAUGGAAUUCUUGCUAAAACCUGAGCACUUACAUCUGCUCUGAUCAUUAGCUUCUUAAUAGUUAACAAGUCUUUGUAUGAUUCUUAUUUGACCUUGUGAGUUCGCGCCUAAUAUCUAUGUUAUAUUAUUAUGAUUAGGCAAGAUAAAGGAUUAGAAUGAAACUUGAGAAAAAGACAAGAGGUAAGACGUAAGAGUGAAUUAGAACUUAAUGGAAUUUAAGCUAAAACCAGUAGUUAAAAGCCACAACGGAAGAUAAAGAGACUAAGAGAGACAUUGAAUAUAUAAACUUAGUCAAUACCAAUGAACUGUUGGUUUUGGCUGAAAUAGUUCUAGCGUGGACAUGGGCUUUGAAGUCGAGAUCUGUAUAUCAGAGAGUGAUGCAUGAUCUGAUUGUUUUUCUUCAUUGUUAAGCCACUGAGCUUUGCCUUUUAGAGGCCACUCACUAAAGAAUUGGUGAAAGCCCUCUUGAUUCUCUUCACCUCUAUCCACUUUGAUUGACCUGGCUGGCUUAAAAUCAUUGCCAAGAAUAAAGCAAUGCUUCUUUGAGUCUCUGUCUUCUUCUUGUCUUCUAUGUUCUUUAAUUUUUCCAUGAUCAUUGAUGGCCCGGAAGUAGUCAGAGGAAGCCACUUCUGAUGCUGUAUAUGAUUCAUGUUGGCUUCUCACAGUCCUGGAAACCCCUGGGAAGAAAGCGCUUUCAUCAUCCCUCAUACCUUGCAUAAACCUGCAAGUAUCAAAUUAAAAUGGAAGAGCAGUCAAGACAUUUUCUUAACUUUUUCUGUAUAUUUCAUAGAUGCUUAUCUUUUAGGACAUAAAGAAAACCUAUAAUCUUUAUAUGUCUGAUAGGGGGAUUUGGAUUCCAUAAACAUUUGCUGAGUUCUGCUGUUCUGAUGCAUAGGAGAGGACUGGG
This 2054-nucleotide long non-coding RNA is filed under the name Daucus carota (carrot). RNAcentral describes it as "long non-coding RNA (DCAR_LNC001500)". The record is from RNAcentral. Lineage: Eukaryota; Viridiplantae; Streptophyta; Magnoliopsida; Apiales; Apiaceae.